CCUACGGGAGGCAGCAGUGAGGAAUAUUGGUCAAUGGACGAGAGUCUGAACCAGCCAAGUAGCGUGAAGGAUGACUGCCCUAUGGGUUGUAAACUUCUUUUAUAUGGGAAUAAAAUGCUCCACGUGUGGGAUUUUGUAUGUACCAUAUGAAUAAGGAUCGGCUAACUCCGUGCCAGCAGCCGCGGUAAUACGGAGGAUCCGAGCGUUAUCCGGAUUUAUUGGGUUUAAAGGGAGCGUAGGCGGAUUGUUAAGUCAGUUGUGAAAGUUUGCGGCUCAACCGUAAAAGUGCAGUUGAAACUGGCAGUCUUGAGUGCAGUAGAGGUGGGCGGAAUUCGUGGUGUAGCGGUGAAAUGCUUAGAUAUCACGAAGAACUCCGAUUGCGAAGGCAGUUCACUGGACUGCAACUGACGCUGAGGCUCGAAAGUGUGGGUAUCAAACAGGAUUAGAUACCCCAGUAGUC
This 460-nucleotide ribosomal RNA is filed under the name uncultured bacterium. RNAcentral's name for it is "partial 16S ribosomal RNA". It matches the Rfam family "Bacterial small subunit ribosomal RNA", at positions 338 to 795 of the family's 1533-position model. The record is from RNAcentral.